This 403-nucleotide ribosomal RNA is filed under the name uncultured bacterium. Its description in RNAcentral is "partial 16S ribosomal RNA". It matches the Rfam family "Bacterial small subunit ribosomal RNA", at positions 30 to 526 of the family's 1533-position model. The record is from RNAcentral.
AUUGAACGCUGGCGGCAGGCCUAACACAUGCAAGUCGAGCGAGCGGCGGACGGGUGAGUAAUGUAUGGGGACUGCCCGAUAGAGGGGGAGAACUACUAGAAACGGUGGCUAAUCCCGCAUACUGUCGGAUUACCUCUAUGGUAUUAGCUAGUGGGUAAGGGAAUGGAUGACCCAGGCGACGAUCCCUAGCUGGUCUGAGAGGAUGAUCAGCCACACUUGAACUGAGACAAGGCCCAGACUCCUACGGAGGCAGCAGUGGGGAGUAUUGGACAAUGGGCGAAAGCCAGAUGCAGCCAUGCCGCGUGUAUGAAGAAGGCCCUGGGGUUGUAAAGUACUUUCAGUUGGGAGGCGUUACCGACAGAAUAAGCACCGGCUAACUCCGUGCCAGCAGCCGCGGUAAUUC